Molecule: long non-coding RNA, 153 nt
Organism: Ornithodoros turicata
Lineage: Eukaryota; Metazoa; Arthropoda; Arachnida; Ixodida; Argasidae
Exons: 3
Source: RefSeq, a predicted model, not a curated record
CACCUUGCGUGUAACCAAAGAACGGGGGAAACCAAGAGCAUCCGUGAGAGCAAAAGUCGUCAUCUACUUCCAGAGCCUCACAGCGCAGAAUGUUCGCCAGGUGGCGCAAUACAGUGGAAAGGGGAAAAGGCGUUGCUUUUCACUGCUUCGUCC